Molecule: long non-coding RNA, 244 nt
Filed under: Ananas comosus (pineapple)
Lineage: Eukaryota; Viridiplantae; Streptophyta; Magnoliopsida; Poales; Bromeliaceae
Description: long non-coding RNA (ACOM_LNC021728)
Source: RNAcentral
CCUUGAGCAAAUGGCCUACCCAUGUUUAAUUUCCCCAAAUCAAUGGUCCAGUUCUCGUAACUUUUCAAGGUCUCAGUAGGAUGUCUUGGGUCCAUCAAGGCCUGGGCUAGUGCAUCAUCAUUCAAUUCAUGAGCAACCCUACCGGGGCGGAACACGCUGUUCCCGACAGAAUAGUUGGCAGGUAGAACAGCACGGAGGCCCGGGUGGUUGAGGAUUCCCGUGUGGGAAUCACUAGACCCCACAC